CCAUGUUGAGGGAUUGGGUUCGCCUGAGGCCCUUGGCAGGAUGGUGGCCGCUCGGCUAGUGGUGGGGCUCUCGCUUCUGGCCUCCACUCGCGUUCUCUCUCCCGGCCUCCCCGGCGACGGUGGACGCGUCCUGGGGCGACGCCGGCGCAGCCUCCACACACACCUUCCCGAGCUGCAGGUCUUCCCCGUUGGGUGACGCGGGGUGAGGGGAGCGCGGCCGCUUUCCCCGAGAGCAACGAGCACCCGGAUUUCCCACCCACUUUCCUCCCCCGUCUCCACAUUCUUCCCCUGUCUCCUUACGGCUUUGUCUUCCCUUCUCGGAAUUUCCUGACUACACACUUCGGGUCGGCGGCGGUCUCCACGGACCUCACGGGCGUCGCCCGUUGCUGGCGCGCGAUCCGAGGAGUAAGCUGUCUCCUUCAUGGUGCCCACUUCCUAGUGAAUGCGGACUGAUUAACCAGAACAGCACUGCCCAGUGGAACUUUCUUUGGUGAAGGAAAUGUUCUAGAUCUGCCCUGUCCAACAUAGUAGCCAUUAGCUGCAGGUGACCAGUGAACAUUUGAAAGACGGCCAGUGCGACUAAGGAACUGACUGGAAAUCUCACUGGCACUGUGAGUGUCCCAUCUGAAGUUAUCAUGGGAGGAUGGCUGCUGCUACAAAGUUCCCAUCUUUUACUCAGGAGCCUAAGCAGGCCAUGGGAACACAAGAGACCUUCCACAAAUAUUUGUGAAGUAAAGGGGAGGCAGUGGAGGAAAAAAGUCACAUAAAGGACUCUUUGUGACACAGCAGAAACGUGUUAAGCACCUACCACCUCAGGCCUAGCCUGCAAGUGUCCUGAUAAAAACUGAUUUGAAUCACAGAAUCCAGCAGCAUGCUUGUCAAAACCCAGAGACUUGCCCUUUUAAGUCUAAGACCAGAUACUGAAAUCAUCACACUCUCAGCCCAGUGUUUUGGAAGUACCAGAUAUGAUGAAUGCAAUUACAUGAUCGUGCAAAUGAAGUAAAAUAAUACAACUGCCUCCUCCUUUAUACUUGCCAGUAAGAUGACUUUGUACUGAGAAAAUUAUUGAGACUCUAACAAAACUGUUACAAAUAAUAAGAGAAUUUAGCAGCAUGACAGGUUCAUCUGCAACAACUACGCAAGACUGCAAGGGAUGAUUAACCUGAGCAGAUUAACAGCAACUACAGUGAACUCCCAACAGCACUUGGAAGGCCUGACUAGCACAGUGAGGUGAGCAGAUCCCUUUGGACACCUGUGCCAAAACUCAACUGAGACCAGUUUUGCAUUAAGGAAUGUCUGAAUCCAAUCAAAUGUAAGACACAUUCUAACAAGAUUUUCUCAAUGAAUCCUGACAAGCUGAUGGUGAGUGUUCAUUUGGUUGAGAACAGAUAAUAGGUGUGUUGUUUUCUUUUUUUUAAAUAAUGAGACGAACUACCAUUUAUCCAAGUUUGUUGUAAAGUUACGAUAAGUACAGCAACAUGGUGUUUACUCAGACACUGACAGAGACCAAGGGAGCAUAAGGGGCCAAGAAGGCCUGCACAUGGUGAUGACUAUGGGAAUUAAGUCUAUGAUAAAGAUGACGUUUCCAAUAAUCAGAAGAACCAAGUCAGAAAACGGUGUUGAAAAAACUUGUGCCCCACAUCAUACACACAAGGAAACACAGUUACAGGAAACAGCUAAAAACCCCCCACAAAAAUACCAGAAUUGACAAAAGUAUUUGUACAACCUGCCUAUGUAUGACAUGAAACCUAGAAUAGAAA
Molecule: long non-coding RNA, 1760 nt
Organism: Eubalaena glacialis (North Atlantic right whale)
Lineage: Eukaryota; Metazoa; Chordata; Mammalia; Artiodactyla; Balaenidae
Exons: 6
Source: RefSeq, a predicted model, not a curated record